This 273-nucleotide ribosomal RNA is filed under the name uncultured bacterium. RNAcentral's name for it is "partial 16S ribosomal RNA". It matches the Rfam family "Bacterial small subunit ribosomal RNA", at positions 524 to 796 of the family's 1533-position model. The record is from RNAcentral.
UACGUAGGGCGCAAGCGUUGUCCGGAAUUAUUGGGCGUAAAGAGCUCGUAGGCGGUCUGUUACGUCUGCUGUGAAAACCCGGGGCUUAACCCCGGGCUUGCAGUGGAUACGGGCAGACUAGAGGCAGGUAGGGGAGAAUGGAAUUCCCGGUGUAGCGGUGAAAUGCGCAGAUAUCGGGAGGAACACCGGUGGCGAAGGCGGUUCUCUGGGCCUGACCUGACGCUGAGGAGCGAAAGCGUGGGGAGCGAACAGGAUUAGAAACCCCCGUAGUCC